Molecule: ribosomal RNA, 497 nt
Filed under: uncultured bacterium
Lineage: Bacteria
Description: partial 16S ribosomal RNA
Rfam family: Bacterial small subunit ribosomal RNA
Source: RNAcentral
ACUCAAAUGAAUUGACGGGGGCCCGCACAAGCAGUGGAGCAUGUGGUUUAAUUCGAUGCAACGCGAAGAACCUUACCCAGGAUUGAACUGUAGAGGACGAAUCCAGAGAUGGAUUUUCCCGUAAGGGUCGCUACAUAGGUGCUGCAUGGCUGUCGUCAGCUCGUGCCGUGAGGUGUUGGGUUAAGUCCCGCAACGAGCGCAACCCUUAUCGUUAGUUGCCAGCACGCGAGGUGGGAACUCUAACGAGACUGCCUAGGUUAACUAGGAGGAAGGUGAGGAUGACGUCAAGUCCGCAUGGCCUUUAUAUCUGGGGCUACACACGUGCUACAAUGGUUGGUACAGAAGGCAGCGAAGUCGUGAGAUGGAGCCAAUCCCGAAAGCCAAUCCCAGUUCGGAUUGUAGUCUGCAACUCGGCUACAUGAAGUUGGAAUUGCUAGUAAUGGCGUGUCAGCAAUAGCGCCGUGAAUACGUUCCCGGGCCUUGUACACACCGCCCGU